RNAcentral lists this ribosomal RNA (868 nucleotides) under uncultured archaeon. RNAcentral's name for it is "bacterial SSU rRNA". It matches the Rfam family "Archaeal small subunit ribosomal RNA", at positions 1 to 878 of the family's 1478-position model. The record is from RNAcentral.
CUCCGGGUGAUCCUGCCGGACCCGACUGCUAUCAGAGUGGGACUAAGCCAUGCGAGUCAACAUAGCAAUAUGUGGCAUACGGCUCAGUAACACGUAGUCAACAUGCCCAGGGGACGUGGAUAACCUCGGGAAACUGAGGAUAAACCGCGAUAGGUCAUCACUUCUGGAAUGGGUAAUGACUUAAAUCUAUAUGGCCCCUGGAUUGGACUGCGGCCGAUCAGGCUGUUGGUGAGGUAAUGGCCCACCAAACCUGUAACCGGUACGGGCUCUGAGAGGAGGAGCCCGGAGAUGGGCACUGAGACAAGGGCCCAGGCCCUAUGGGGCGCAGCAGGCGCGAAACCUCUGCAAUAGGCGAAAGCUUGACAGGGUUACUCUGAGUGAUUUCCGUUAAGGAGAUCUUUUGGCACCUCUAAAAAUGGUGCAGAAUAAGGGGUGGGCAAGUCUGGUGUCAGCCGCCGCGGUAAUACCAGCACCCCGAGUGGUCGGGACGUUUAUUGGGCCUAAAGCAUCCGUAGCCGGUUCUACAAGUCUUCCGUUAAAUCCACCUGCUUAACAGAUGGGCUGCGGAAGAUACUAUAGAGCUAGGAGGCGGGAGAGGCAAGCGGUACUCGAUGGGUAGGGGUAAAAUCCGUUGAUCCAUUGAAGACCACCAGUGGCGAAGGCGGCUUGCCAGAACGCGCUCGACGGUGAGGGAUGAAAGCUGGGGGAGCAAACCGGAUUAGAUACCCGGGUAGUCCCAGCUGUAAACGAUGCAGACUCGGUGAUGAGUUGGCUUAUUGCUAACUCAGUGCCGCAGGGAAGCCGUUAAGUUUGCCGCCUGGGGAGUACGGUCGCAAGACUGAAACUUAAAGGAAUUGGCGGGGGAGCA